GAUGAACGCUGGCGGCGUGCUUAAUACAUGCAAGUCGAGCGAACAGACGAGGAGCUUGCUCCUCUGACGUUAGCGGCGGACGGGUGAGUAACACGUGUAUAACCUACCUAUAAGACUGGGAUAACUUCGGGAAACCGGAGCUAAUACCGGAUAAUAUCUUGAACCGCAUGGUUCAAUAGUGAAAGACGGUUUUGCUGUCACUUAUAGAUGGAUCCGCGCCGCAUUAGCUAGUUGGUAAGGUAACGGCUUACCAAGGCAACGAUGCGUAGCCGACGUGAGAGGGUGAUCGGCCACACUGGAACUGAGACACGGACAAGACUCCUACGGGAGGCAGCAGUAGGGAAUCUUCCGCAAUGGGCGAAAGCCUGACGGAGCAACGCCGCGUGAGUGAUGAAGGUCUUCGGAUCGUAAAACUCUGUUAUUAGGGAAGAACAAAUGUGUAAGUAACUAUGCACGUCUUGACGGUACCUAAUCAGAAAGCCACGGCUAACUACGUG
This 497-nucleotide ribosomal RNA is filed under the name uncultured bacterium. RNAcentral's name for it is "partial 16S ribosomal RNA". It matches the Rfam family "Bacterial small subunit ribosomal RNA", at positions 28 to 507 of the family's 1533-position model. The record is from RNAcentral.